ACGUGCUCCGGGGUCGGUGGGAAUCCGAACCGGCGGUGACAGUCCGCGAGCCGAAGCGCCAGACGCGCCAGGCUGAUCCGGUGGAAUUCCGGGACCGACGGUGAUGUGCGACGAGAGUCGCACGAGUCCGGAUGGGAGGCAGCACGA
Molecule: non-coding RNA, 147 nt
Filed under: Microbacterium sp.
Lineage: Bacteria; Bacillati; Actinomycetota; Actinomycetes; Micrococcales; Microbacteriaceae
Also listed under: 1 other name
Description: FMN sequence
Rfam family: FMN riboswitch aptamer (RFN element)
About the family: The RFN element is a highly conserved domain that is found frequently in the 5'-untranslated regions of prokaryotic mRNAs that encode for flavin mononucleotide (FMN) biosynthesis and transport proteins. This element is a metabolite-dependent riboswitch that directly binds FMN in the absence of proteins.
Source: RNAcentral